This 430-nucleotide ribosomal RNA is filed under the name Brucella melitensis. RNAcentral's name for it is "partial 16S ribosomal RNA". It matches the Rfam family "Bacterial small subunit ribosomal RNA", at positions 355 to 776 of the family's 1533-position model. RNAcentral also lists the same sequence under 1 other name. The record is from RNAcentral. Lineage: Bacteria; Pseudomonadati; Pseudomonadota; Alphaproteobacteria; Hyphomicrobiales; Brucellaceae.
UGGGGAAUAUUGGACAAUGGGCGCAAGCCUGAUCCAGCCAUGCCGCGUGUGUGAAGAAGGCCUUUUGGUUGUAAAGCACUUUAAGCGAGGAGGAGGCUACUUGGAUUAAUACUCUAGGAUAGUGGACGUUACUCGCAGAAUAAGUACCGGCUAACUCUGUGCCAGCAGCCGCGGUAAUACAGAGGGUGCGAGCGUUAAUCGGAUUUACUGGGCGUAAAGCGUGCGUAGGCGGCUUCUUAAGUCGGAUGUGAAAUCCCUGAGCUUAACUUAGGAAUUGCAUUCGAUACUGGGAAGCUAGAGUAUGGGAGAGGAUGGUAGAAUUCCAGGUGUAGCGGUGAAAUGCGUAGAGAUCUGGAGGAAUACCGAUGGCGAAGGCAGCCAUCUGGCCUAAUACUGACGCUGAGGUACGAAAGCAUGGGGAGCAAACAGG